RNAcentral lists this non-coding RNA (24 nucleotides) under Cricetulus griseus (Chinese hamster). Lineage: Eukaryota; Metazoa; Chordata; Mammalia; Rodentia; Cricetidae. The record is from RNAcentral.
ACUUUUGUACCUCUGAAGAAGAUU